RNAcentral lists this long non-coding RNA (1374 nucleotides) under Mus musculus (house mouse). Its description in RNAcentral is "long non-coding RNA chr3:90342097-90343471". The record is from RNAcentral. Lineage: Eukaryota; Metazoa; Chordata; Mammalia; Rodentia; Muridae.
UGCCCUUUUUGUAUUUUGCUGUUUUGCAACAGGGUCUCAUUCUAUUGUAGUCAUGCUGGUCUUGAACUUAUAGCAGUCCUCUUGUCUCAGCAUAUCAGUGCUGGGAUUACAUAUAUUAGCUACCACAUCAUGGCAUCCUAAAGCUUCUAGAAAGAUCUGUGUCCUCUGGCUUGAACUGAGCAAGAGUUUCUCUUUUUUCCAGAUGAAGCUAGUAGCUCAUAAUGAAAGUCAUUAUUCUUACCUAAGAUAAAAUAUUUAUUUCUAGGGACCAGAGAGGUGACAAAAUAACUCAUAGUGUUUGCUGCCCAGUCUUGAGGACUGGACUUCAAAUCCUAGUUCCCACAUCAAAUGGUUCUCAACCGCCUGUAAUUCCAACUCUUAAGUGGUCCAGCACCCUUUCCUAUCCUGUAUGGGCACCUGUGCAGACUUCUUUCUUCUUUAAAAAAAAAAAAAGGUCAUUUCUGGAAUAAGGUGACAUUAGAUUCUAACCCAAUUAGUAUUUCUUUGUUUUGUUCCCUCCUCCUAAGAUGGCUUUAGGAUUAAAUCAAACAAAUUGGUAUCAUCCAGGUAGUGGCAGCGCAUGCCUUUGAUCCCAGCACUCUGGAGGCAAGGGCAAGUGUAUCUCUGAGUUUAAGGCUAGCCUGGUGUACAGAGCAAGUUUCAGGACAACCAGGCCUACACAGAGAAACAAAACAAAACAAAAGGGAUUUAGGAUCUAUUUGGAUUCUGUUUCAUGAACUUGGCUUUUCUUUUGUCAAAAGGAACAUUAUGCACAUAAUGGUCCCUGCAAUUCUUCAAUUCUUGCUCUAUCUGUACCACUUUCUAGAGGGGCUGGAGAGAUGGCUCAGCGGUUAAGAGCACUGACUGCUCUUCUGAAGGUCUGAGUUUAAAUCCCAGCAACCACAUGGUGGCUCACAACCACCCAUAAUGAGAUCUGAUGCCCUCUUCUGGCGGGUCUGAAGACAGCUACAGUGUACUUACAUAUAAUAAAUAAAUAAAUAAAUAAAUAAAUCUUUUAAAAAAAUUUUAAGAAAAAAAAGACUAAAAAAAAAAUUUUUUUUUUUUAAAAGAAAGGAACCUAGAACUAACUGAGGCUUAAAUCAACCUGGUAGUUGAAUCAGAAUAUAGAUACCCCUAGUUUUAAGGAGACUGUUUAUCAGUAGUUUAGAAAUACUUGAUAAAAGUAAGAAUUACUCGUUAUUCAUUUUAUUUGACCUUCCUGGUUUUUAUCCUGGAUUAGUAUCAAAGUAGGAUCUUUAACAAACUAGACUAGAGAGAAGGAAGGAAUAGUUAAUGCCUUACAUGUGUUUCUUUCUUUCUUUUGAUAGUCUUGUCCUAGAACUCUUCUUAAAAACAACAAAAUCCCACCAAACC